This 1180-nucleotide long non-coding RNA is filed under the name Prunus persica (peach). RNAcentral's name for it is "long non-coding RNA (PPER_LNC004030)". The record is from RNAcentral. Lineage: Eukaryota; Viridiplantae; Streptophyta; Magnoliopsida; Rosales; Rosaceae.
GUUACAUCAUUAAGGAACCCCAUGUCCUUAUUUACAUAUCAAGAAUCAAGGACCCUCAAGUCCGAUCACAUGUUUACAAAUAUAGUACUGGAGAGACUGCUAGCUCUCAUAUCAAUAUCAUCAUCAAGGAUCUUCAAGUCCUGAUGUAGUUGUAUGAUGAGGAUCAAGAAACUUCUGGUUCUGAUCUGUAUCCUUGUAAAAAAAACUCAUCAUACCACACAAUUAAUCCAUAAAAUAAAUUGCUUGUAAAUUAAAUUAUUGGUAAAUGAAUUGCUUGUAUGGACGAUAAACCCGCACCAUACGUUAAAUAAAAGUAAAUGUACGGUAAAGUAAAUUCAUAAAGUAUGAGGGUUAAUUCUUCAUCAUACUUUAAGUAAAAGUAAAUGUGCAGUAAAGUAAAUUCAUAAAGUAUGAGGGUUAAUUCCUCAUCAUACUUUAAGUAAAAGUAAAUGUGCGAUAAAAUAAAUUACUUGCUAUAUGGACGUUAAUUCCGCACCAUAUCUUAAAUAAAAUUAAAUGUGCGGUAAAGUAAAUUCAUAAAGUAUGAGGGUUAAUUCCUCAUCAUACUUUAAGUAAAAGUAAAUGUGCGAUAAAAUAAAUUGCUUGCUAUAUGGACGUUAAUUCCGCACCAUAUCUUAAAUAAAAUUAAAUGUGCGGUAAAGUAAAUUCAUAAAGUAUGAGGGUUAAUUCCUCAUCAUACUUUAAGUAAAAGUAAAUGUGCGAUAAAAUAAAUUGCUUGCUAUAUGGACGUUAAUUCCGCACCAUAUCUUAAAUAAAAUUAAAUGUGCGGUAAAGUAAAUUCAUAAAGUAUGAGGGUUAGUUCCACAUCAUACUUUAAGUAAAAGUAAAUUUACGAUAAAGUAAACGUACUUGUAUGGGCACUAAUUCUGCUCCAUACAUUUAAAUAAAAGUAAAGGCGUGGACGAUAAACCCGCACCACCCUUUUAAAUAAAUACUGUUGUAUGGGUAAUAAACCUACACCAUACAGUAAAUAAAAUAAAUGUGCGGUAAAGUAAAUUUCAUAAAGUAUAAAUAAUAGUGCAGCAAAAAAAUUAUACCUGAGAGCUUCUCGUGCUGAUAACGUGUUAUAAAAUUACUGAGAUAUGUGUGAAUAUUGAGCUGCACGUCAAGUAAAUGAGACACAGUAUUUAACGAGGUUCGGUUAUGCCUACAUCCCCGG